Orussus abietinus is the source of this 80-nucleotide small nucleolar RNA. RefSeq annotates it as small nucleolar RNA snR60/Z15/Z230/Z193/J17. The transcript has a single exon. The record is from RefSeq and is a predicted model, not a curated record. NCBI's taxonomy places the organism in Eukaryota, Metazoa, Arthropoda, Insecta, Hymenoptera, Orussidae.
UACUACUCGCAUGAUGAUUCCAUAGUUCAACUGAAAUAAUAUUGAUGAGCAAUAUCUUUCGCUCCUAUCUGAUAUUCUUA